RNAcentral lists this ribosomal RNA (457 nucleotides) under Maoridrilus purus. Its description in RNAcentral is "partial 16S ribosomal RNA". It matches the Rfam family "Bacterial large subunit ribosomal RNA", at positions 1859 to 2597 of the family's 2925-position model. The record is from RNAcentral. Lineage: Eukaryota; Metazoa; Annelida; Clitellata; Crassiclitellata; Acanthodrilidae.
CUGCCCAGUGAUUAAGUUUAAACGGCCGCGGUAUCCUAACCGUGCAAAGGUAGCAUAAUCACUUGCCUAUUAAUUGUAGGCUAGAAUGAAUGGAUAAACGUAAUAAAAACUGUCUCAAUUAUUAUUAUAUAAAUUAACAUUUAUCUGAAGAGUGAUAGAUUAAUUCGAAGGACAAGAAGACCCUAUAGAGCUUUAUCUUUAAUAUGAACCCUCAUCAUAUAGGAGAUUCGGUUGGGGCGACCGGGGGCCGACAAAUAAAUCACCCCCUUACAGAAAGAUAAAUUAAUCAAAAUAGUGACCCUAAAAAGAUCAUAAGAACAAGCUACCUUAGGGAUAACAGGCUAAUCUUAUUUAAGAGUUCAUAUCUACAAUAAGGUUUGGCACCUCGAUGUUGGCUUAGGGAAUCACCCUAGCGCAAAAGUUAGGUAAAGAUGGUUUGUUCAACCAAUAACCCCCU